Molecule: long non-coding RNA, 771 nt
Organism: Peromyscus californicus insignis
Lineage: Eukaryota; Metazoa; Chordata; Mammalia; Rodentia; Cricetidae
Exons: 3
Source: RefSeq, a predicted model, not a curated record
UCCCAACAGGGUAGGAAAGAGCACAAUUAUCCGCAAAGACUGCAAUUAGCAAUGUCAGCUUUAACCUUUGUUCCUCUGUGAGAGUCCAAGGCACCAUGUCGUCACCUAAGACCUACUGCUCUGUCUAUGACAAAGGUUUUGUCACUCUGUGUGUAAGUCAGGACUUACUCCAUCCCAUGCCUGUGCUCCCAGAGGACUCAUCUCAUUCCAAAACCAGCGGGCAACGACACCGGAAGGAAGGAAAUGGGUCUGUGGUACUGUUGUUGAGCUGUUACCCAAUCAGUCCCUGUUGGACUGCCUCUCAAAGAAUCCACUGCCAGACUGUGAUGAGCGCGCCACUUCUAGAGUUCAUGAGGGAAAUGUGGGGAACAUUCACUCAGAGCUGAGCGGUGGAGCAAAAACUCCAAAAUACAGUGACCGUUUCCAGGUGUAUCACAGAAUUGGUGAAGAAGUGUGUAAGUCAUGGCAGAUCUGACGCUUUCGCGCCUUCCUCAAUGUGGGUAGCCAUUCCAGCUUUGACCUGGAAGUUCCAACCCCCAUUGAGGCUUUGGUAAUGGUCACACCUACAAGACAGGGCUGAGAGAGGAUGCUGAAGACCCAAGAUCCGGAUGCAGGGCCUCUCUUGGUUCCUGGACCCUGGACGCUGGAGGUAGACUGAGCAGAGUUCUCCAGAGAACACCGCUGGACUGCGAGACACCUUUCCCAGACUCUGCAACCUACCUAUCCCUUCACUUGUAAGUUAUGCCACUAAAUAAACCUCCCUUUUAACUA